UUGGAGGGCAAGUCUGGUGCCAGCAGCCGCGGUAAUUCCAGCUCCAAUAGCGUAUAUUAAAGUUGUUGCAGCUAAAAAGCUCGUAGUUGAAUUUCGGGGUUAGUAGGUUGGUCGUGCCUCAGGUAUGUACUGAUCUCACUGAUUCCUCCUUCCUGAUGAACCGUAAUGCCAUUAAUUUGGUGUUGCGGGGAAACUGGACUGUUACUUUGAAAAAAUUAGAGUGUUUAAAGCAGGCUAACGCUUGAAUACAUUAGCAUGGAAUAAUGAAAUAGGACGUUCGAUCCUAUUUUGUUGGUUUCUAGGAUUGACGUAAUGAUUAAUAGGGAUAGUUGGGGGCAUUAGUAUUCAAUUGUCAGAGGUGAAAUUCUUGGAUUUAUUGAAGACUAACUACUGCGAAAGCAUUUGCCAAGGAUGUUUUCAUUAAUCAAGAACGAAAGUUAGGGGAUCGAAGACGAUCAGAUACCGUCGUAGUCUUAACCAUAAACUAUGCCGACUGGGGAUCGGACGAUGUUAACUUUUCUUGACUCGUUCGGCGCCUUACGGGAAA
RNAcentral lists this ribosomal RNA (547 nucleotides) under uncultured Glomeromycotina. Its description in RNAcentral is "SSU rRNA". It matches the Rfam family "Eukaryotic small subunit ribosomal RNA", at positions 548 to 1097 of the family's 1831-position model. The record is from RNAcentral. Lineage: Eukaryota; Fungi; Glomeromycota.